GGGCGAGUAGCUCAGCUGGUAAGAGCGCGCGGUUCACAUCCGCGAGGUCGUAGGUUCAAGUCCUAUCUCGCCCA
RNAcentral lists this transfer RNA (74 nucleotides) under Chloroflexi bacterium B3_Chlor. Its description in RNAcentral is "tRNA-Val". It matches the Rfam family "tRNA". Rfam says of the family: Transfer RNA (tRNA) molecules are approximately 80 nucleotides in length. Their secondary structure includes four short double-helical elements and three loops (D, anti-codon, and T loops). RNAcentral also lists the same sequence under 1 other name. The record is from RNAcentral. Lineage: Bacteria; Bacillati; Chloroflexota.